This 331-nucleotide ribosomal RNA is filed under the name uncultured archaeon. RNAcentral's name for it is "bacterial SSU rRNA". It matches the Rfam family "Archaeal small subunit ribosomal RNA", at positions 1020 to 1352 of the family's 1478-position model. The record is from RNAcentral.
ACCGUCGACAGUCUUGCAACGAGCGAGACCCCUGCGUCUAGUUGCUACCAUUACUCUCUGGAGCAGUGGAGCGAAUUAAACGGACCGCCACAGUUAAUGUGGAGGAAGGAAGGGGCCACGGCAGGUCAGUAUGCCCCGAAACCCUAGGGCUACACGCGGGCUGCAAUGGUAUUGACAAUGUGUUCCGAAUCCGAAAGAAGGAGGCAAUCAUCAAACAAUAUCUCAGUUAUGACUGAGGGCUGUAACUCGCCCUCACGAAUAUGGAAUCCCUAGUAACCGCGCGUCACUACCGCGCGGUGAAUACGUCCCUGCUCCUUGCACGAAUUCGCCG